AAGCGACCUGCUUGAGAGUGCUUCGUUCACACCGAAGAGGUCACUGGUUCGAUCCCAGUAUCGCCCACCA
RNAcentral lists this transfer RNA (70 nucleotides) under Micromonospora sp. NBRC 107095. RNAcentral's name for it is "tRNA-Val". Lineage: Bacteria; Bacillati; Actinomycetota; Actinomycetes; Micromonosporales; Micromonosporaceae. The record is from RNAcentral.